GGAACACCUCCCAAAGACAGCAGUCCCAUUGUCCCUUCCUUUGUAGCCUCAGAUAAACACCCUGGACUACCAAAGAAAGGACACAGAAUGGGAGACUUGAGAGCUACUUUGUAAUAUUCUGAGACUUGAUUUCCUUAUCACAAAAUGGGAACAGUGAAAACCUACCUUAUAGAUCGUGGUGACAAAUAGCAUCACUGUGGGAAGCUCUUGGGGGUGUCUGGAGAUUGUGAGCCCUAAGAUUCUGACCUUUUCCUCUCUAACCCGAAGGUCAUGUACCAUGUGCAGAGUCUCUAGUAAAUGAAGGCAGUUCUCACAAGGUGACGGCCUUGGGAGGCCCCGCGUGUUUUCAUUAGCACCACAGUCUUGGAGAGAAGUGGUGUUUUGACUGGAAGGUACAGCGAAUCAAGCAGAGAACAGAAGAGUCUGUCCUUCUGUGGGUUUCCUGGGUGGAGUUAACAAAGACAAGUAGUAUAAAAAAGCCCCAAACUGAUUAUACCCUCCCCCACCCUAGCUAUGCACAUGCUUCCAAGGGGGUGUACACCCUCCCCCUCCUCCACCUGCCCCAGAUUACUUUUCACUUCCUGGGAAGGCAAGGUAAAGGGUCAGCUCUUUGAACCUUGGUUCAUUAUGUUGUGGUUAUUAAUAAUAAUAUCACUCCCACUAAUGAGGUCACACCUGCUAUUUACCAAUCUUGUCCCUUCCUCAGAGGACUCUCUCUCACCCCAGAGGAAAGGUGGUGGGGGUAAUCAUCUUAGAGUCAGAAAAACAGAGAAGUGUGGUGCUUUGCCUGAAGACACACAGCAGUGCUUCCCUCCAUCCUUUCAGACCCAGCUAUAGAAAUUGCCUCCUUCUGGGAGGCCCUCACACUCCUACUGAUGAACCCGCCGCCCCCCCCAACAGAGGUAUAUCUCAGUGUUGGAGGAUGGUGAGGCAAGGAGCUCCUACGUGGAGCUUGGCCCAGUGUCAGCCUCUUAAUAGAUAUCAUCUCAUUUAAUUCUUACAAACAGAUGAGGCAGGCGUUUGUAAAAACAAGCAGAAUUUGGCCUCUGAGCUGUGUGACUUCAGCAAGCCUCUUAACCUCAGUUGGCUCUUCAGACAAGAAGGCACCGUUUCCACAUGUCGGGCUCCCAUUCCUUCACUUCUUGUAGUGCAAGCUGUAGAGGAGGGGAGUCAACUUGUUGGUCCACACAGCCCAGAAAUGGAAGAUCUCGGAUUUUCUCAGGACUUUGACUCCAAGCCCCUCUAAGGGAAAAGCUCAGGUGCCACUGGUGGCCAGGAACCCACUGCCUCUUAAGCAAGCAGAGAGUGCAACUGGGCAGUGCUGAUGGCUGUCAGCCUGGGCUCAGGCCCCUUAGGAGUCUAGGAUACACAGGAC
This 1375-nucleotide long non-coding RNA is filed under the name Marmota monax (woodchuck). Lineage: Eukaryota; Metazoa; Chordata; Mammalia; Rodentia; Sciuridae. The record is from RNAcentral.